GACGAACGCUGGCGGCGCGCUUAACACAUGCAAGUCGAACGGAAAGGCCUGCUUUCCCUUGUGGAUUGCGGGUACUCGAGUGGCGAACGGGUGAGUAACACGUGAGUGAUCUGCCCCCAACUUGGGUAUAAGCCUGGGAAACUGGGUCUAAUUCCCGAUAGGACUGCAGGGUGGUGCCUGUGGUGGAAAACGAUUUUCUAGUGGUUGGGGAUGAGCUCGCGGCCUAUCAGCUUGUUGGUGGGGUAAUGGCCUACCAAGGCGGCGACGGGUAGCCGGCCUGAGAGGGUGGACGGCCACAUUGGGACUGAGAUACGGCCCAGACUCCUACGGGAAGCAGCAGUGGGGAAUAUUGCACAAUGGGCGGAAGCCUGAUGCAGCGACGCCGCGUGGGGGAUGACGGCCUUCGGGUUGUAAACUCCUUUCGACCGCGAGGAAGCCACCUGGUUGGAAGGGUGGUGACGGUAGUGGUAGAAGAAGCACCGGCUAACUACGU
Molecule: ribosomal RNA, 493 nt
Filed under: uncultured bacterium
Lineage: Bacteria
Description: partial 16S ribosomal RNA
Rfam family: Bacterial small subunit ribosomal RNA
Source: RNAcentral